GCCACUUUAGCUCAGCGGUAGAGCAGCUGUUUCGUAAACAGCAGGUCAGAGGUUCGAUUCCACUAAGUGGCUCCA
RNAcentral lists this transfer RNA (75 nucleotides) under bacterium. Its description in RNAcentral is "tRNA-Thr". It matches the Rfam family "tRNA". Rfam says of the family: Transfer RNA (tRNA) molecules are approximately 80 nucleotides in length. Their secondary structure includes four short double-helical elements and three loops (D, anti-codon, and T loops). Further hydrogen bonds mediate the characteristic L-shaped molecular structure. tRNAs have two regions of fundamental functional importance: the anti-codon, which is responsible for specific mRNA codon recognition, and the 3' end, to which the tRNAs corresponding amino acid is attached (by aminoacyl-tRNA synthetases). tRNAs cope with the degeneracy of the genetic code in two manners: having more than one tRNA (with a specific anti-codon) for a particular amino acid; and 'wobble' base-pairing, i.e. permitting non-standard base-pairing at the 3rd anti-codon position. The record is from RNAcentral. RNAcentral also lists the same sequence under 2 other names.